CUGUGUGAACGGUCCUAACCUUAAUUGAUAGCAUGGUGGUUGCUACCCCAGUCAGAGGCACAUGCCCAUAAACGAAACUGCCGAGCAUCUUACUUUCUCUAAUAGUGGGUUUAAGACCUGCUAAGAAUUUUGUACAUCGCUGUUUAAAGGUUAAAUAUUCAAGUGUUAACCUUUUCCUUGCUUACUGAGCUAAAGCAGUUGGUGUUAGUUUAGAGGAAAAUAACAAGUCAAGACGCAGAGAAUGAGGAAGAUAGAGUGUGUGUCAAUGCUAAUGUGUUUCCACUUCACUCUUUUCUGAAAAGUGAAAAAGAGGGAAAAGAAUCUGAUAGUAAGGGUAUGUUCAACAGACUACCUUGAACAGGUAAUUAGUAGUGCACACACC
RNAcentral lists this ribosomal RNA (382 nucleotides) under Polyplax arvicanthis. RNAcentral describes it as "partial 12S ribosomal RNA". The record is from RNAcentral. Lineage: Eukaryota; Metazoa; Arthropoda; Insecta; Psocodea; Polyplacidae.